This is a long non-coding RNA of Diceros bicornis minor, 187 nucleotides long. RefSeq lists it as uncharacterized. The record is from RefSeq and is a predicted model, not a curated record. The transcript is spliced from 3 exons. Lineage: Eukaryota; Metazoa; Chordata; Mammalia; Perissodactyla; Rhinocerotidae.
AAACGUUUAAAAGAGACGUGGAGACAGGUGUCCAGGAAGAACUGUCAAAUAGUUAAAAAGAUCUUCCAAACAUGCCACCGGGAGAGCAGGAAGCUUCUCAAGGAGGAGGUGAUAUCUGUGAGGGCCACCCUGCAGAUGGACCCCCAGGGAGCCCAGGAGAGACAGCAGCAGCAGGUGAGGUGGCCUG